This 700-nucleotide ribosomal RNA is filed under the name uncultured bacterium. RNAcentral describes it as "bacterial SSU rRNA". It matches the Rfam family "Bacterial small subunit ribosomal RNA", at positions 8 to 699 of the family's 1533-position model. The record is from RNAcentral.
AGAGUUUGAUCAUGGCUCAGGAUGAACGCUAGCGGCAGGCUUAAUACAUGCAAGUCGAGGGGCAGCAUGACUGUAGCAAUACAGUUGAUGGCGACCGGCAAACGGGUGCGGAACACGUACAGAACCUUCCUUCGAGCGGGGAAUAGCCCAGAGAAAUUUGGAUUAAUACCCCAUAGCAUAACGGAGUGGCAUCACUUUGUUAUUAAAGAUUUAUCACUUGAAGAUGGCUGUGCGGCUGAUUAGGUAGUUGGCGGGGUAACGGCCCACCAAGCCUGCGAUCAGUAACUGGUGUGAGAGCACGACCAGUCACACGGGCACUGAGACACGGGCCCGACUCCUACGGGAGGCAGCAGUAAGGAAUAUUGGUCAAUGGACGAAAGUCUGAACCAGCCAUGCCGCGUGGAGGAUGAAGGUCCUCUGGAUUGUAAACUUCUUUUAUAUGGGACGAAAAAAGGCUUUUCUAAGUCGUCUGACGGUACCAUAUGAAUAAGCACCGGCUAACUCCGUGCCAGCAGCCGCGGUAAUACGGAGGGUGCAAGCGUUAUCCGGAUUCACUGGGUUUAAAGGGUGCGUAGGUGGGUUGGUAAGUCAGUGGUGAAAUCUCCGAGCUUAACUUGGAAACUGCCAUUGAUACUAUCAGUCUUGAAUAUUGUGGAGGUUAGCGGAAUAUGUCAUGUAGCGGUGAAAUGCUUAGAUAUGA